UACGGAGGGUGCGAGCGUUGUCCGGAAUCACUGGGCGUAAAGGGCGCGUAGGCGGCCUGCUAAGUUGCGGGUGAAAUCCCGGGGCUUAACUCCGGGGCUGCCAGUAAGACUGGCAGGCUAGAGCACGGUAGAGGCAGAUGGAAUUCCCGGUGUAGCGGUGGAAUGCGUAGAGAUCGGGAAGAACACCAGUGGCGAAGGCGAUCUGCUGGGCCGUUGCUGACGCUGAGGCGCGACAGCGUGGGGAGCAAACAGG
This 253-nucleotide ribosomal RNA is filed under the name uncultured bacterium. RNAcentral's name for it is "partial 16S ribosomal RNA". It matches the Rfam family "Bacterial small subunit ribosomal RNA", at positions 524 to 776 of the family's 1533-position model. The record is from RNAcentral.